UUUCUUUCUCUUUCUCCCUCCACCAAAUAUCUCUCUCACCGUCGCCGGAAAGAAGCGGAGAGUGAGAGAGAAUCGCUCGCAAUCGCGUAGAGACAUGAAAAACAAAAAACAAUGUCCAUUGAAUUUGAGUUUUGGCUUUUUGAGUUUAUGAGUUUCUAAUUGAUUAUUUUUUUAUCGCAAAACAGAUCGUCACGAGAGAAGAGGCAAUGGAUGAUGGAUUGAAAAGCUGCUCUUUCUCUUUCUGAACACCAAAUUUAUUUUGAAUUUUGAUCAUCCUAUAACCACUUUUUUUUUUUGAAUUGGUAAAGUGAUUCUGUUUUCAUGUUGUUUUAUAGUGAUUGUGAUUCUGUUUGUGUUUAUGUUUUCAGCUACAAAAUCUGGAGAGUUUAAUUGAACAAAUUAGGGUACUAAAGGGAGAGAUCGAUGAGCAGAUCGAUGAGAAGAUUAAGCUAACUGUUGAACUUGAUAUGCUGUUUUUAAUGUUCACCCGUAGUGAGGUACGUUAAUUAUUCAUACUCCAUUGAUUUCUCUGUUUCUGUUGAUUGAAUCUUAUGUAUAUGAUUUGUUCAUGCUUAAUUGUGUUUUUUUAUCUAGGAUGAGUUUUCUUUUCAC
This 612-nucleotide long non-coding RNA is filed under the name Trifolium pratense (red clover). Its description in RNAcentral is "long non-coding RNA (TPRA_LNC002194)". Lineage: Eukaryota; Viridiplantae; Streptophyta; Magnoliopsida; Fabales; Fabaceae. The record is from RNAcentral.